Molecule: ribosomal RNA, 404 nt
Filed under: uncultured prokaryote
Description: bacterial SSU rRNA
Rfam family: Bacterial small subunit ribosomal RNA
Source: RNAcentral
UGGGGAAUAUUGCACAAUGGGCGCAAGCCUGAUGCAGCAACGCCGCGUGAGUGAAGAAGGUCUUCGGAUCGUAAAACUCUGUCCUUAGGGAAGAAAAAAAUGACGGUACCUAAGGAGGAAGCCCCGGCUAACUACGUGCCAGCAGCCGCGGUAAUACGUAGGGGGCAAGCGUUAUCCGGAAUUAUUGGGCGUAAAGAGUACGUAGGUGGUUUUAUAAGCGCAGGGGGAAAGGCCGAGGCUUAACUUCGGUUAGCCUUGCGAACUGUAAGACUUGAGUGUAGGAGAGGAAAGUGGAAUUCCUAGUGUAGCGGUGAAAUGCGUAGAUAUUAGGAGGAACAUCAGUGGCGAAGGCGACUUUCUGGACUAUAACUGACACUGAGGUACGAAAGCGUGGGGAGCAAACA